Molecule: long non-coding RNA, 1707 nt
Organism: Armigeres subalbatus
Lineage: Eukaryota; Metazoa; Arthropoda; Insecta; Diptera; Culicidae
Exons: 4
Source: RefSeq, a predicted model, not a curated record
UUCGGGAAUUUUCUCUCUGUUGCAGUUCCUCCGCGGACGAAUAUUUUCUAGAUAACCCGUCAUCAGAAAUUGCAGGCUACUUUUGUAGUUAUCAAAUGCAUGCUGCUUCGGACUUCUGCAGAUCGGAUUUGUCUGGUGUAGCACCGACGUUGUGGGUGGCCUGGUGAGUAAACAAACUCCCUGGAGAGGAAACGAAAAUUGUACAUCGAGAAGUCCUAAACAGUAAUAGCUUGAUCUGGAAAGGGGCCCAAACAACAAAUAAAGUAACGAGUUCCGGGUCGUAGAGAUAUGUACCCAAACGGAGUAUUUGGAGAAAUAUUAGAAUACGCGAGAGAAUACGCUAAAAAGAACGUUUCAUAGAAUAUUUUGGAAGAGCAGCAGUUUUUAGAUUGGGAUUCUUUUGCAGCCUUGGUUCGAGUUACUUAAGAAGAGCAAUGCAGCCGUCCAGACCUAUAUCCAAAACAUUCCAGGUUCUUUUCGACGACGAAGUCUUCUUGAUCCUGGGUCACUGCGUAUUAACAGGAUGUCUCCACUCCCGGGCAUGACUAAACAUCGGCCAACUGUCAAACACAAGCCCUCCUUUUUUCCGCACUCGAUCCAUGCCCCAAUGCACGACCGACAAGAUGAUUUGGGAAUCGGCUUUUCCAUGUGGGGAUCCGGAUAGCAACUGAUGAUCUAAAUACACUUUUAGAUGUGUAGCAUUUUUGGAGGGAUUUGAUGUUCGUGGAAAGAUGCCCAACAAAGCAACACUAACAGUGACACAGGCGUUUUUGGAUGCGAGGAAUUCUCUCCUAUCGUGGUCCAAAGAGAGCGAGAUCCUUUGUUAUCGGAUGAACCUGGUCGGCACGUACUACAUGGGAAAGGUAACCGAAUUCGGUUACUAUAUAUGGACCCGCAGAAGCGAAGGUGUGGCGUUUUUUUUCUGUACGAUCAGGAAUUCUCAGCUAAUUAACGUUGUGAUAAAAACUGGAGCUAAAAUGGUUUUUGGAAAAAUCCUAGGGACGACGACAUAUUCCGAAGUAACUCCAGUGUGCAAAACCACGUCGGAACCCAUCGCCUAACAUCGAACGGGAAACCCCCGGAUAUGAGACGCCCUCGAAUGUUACCCCAUCAUCAGGGGUGAUCGUAGCGGUGACUCUGCAUGUCACAUCACCCUUCUGCUGACCCUAGCUGGUACUGGUACCACUCCGAUCCAACACAAAACUAUAGCCAUUGAACGACACUCCAACAUCAAUGACAAGAAUCCCUGUCUGGUUCUUUUUCCAAGUUGAGGACAACGGCGCCAGAAUUAUCAACUUUCAACCCAACGGCACUCUCCAUUUUAUGAAACCGGAAGACACACUACUGAUCCAAUGUCGACGAGAUAGACUUCAUCCCUGAGGAGUAAAAGGAACGCAAAACUAUUAUCGGAACUGUCGGACCACUUUCUAACCAAACCCCCCGCCAUGGGAGAUCGCUUAUUAGUCGAAGUCAUCGUGCGAAUCUUGCAUCAGCUGGUGAUAUGGUUUAUCCUUAUGUCCACACAAUUUCGAUCCACUGUUGAUUGACGGAGAUUACUACGCCCGUAUUGAACGUCUAGGGAUCAUCUCCAACUUGGCCAAGCCCGCCGGUUGGCUACCAUGUAUUUGAUUAUGCAUCUCGAUAUCAACAACAUUAUGUAAUAAUAUGUAUACAUGUGUAAUACAAUGCCCUAUACCUUCGCUGUGA